This 488-nucleotide unclassified non-coding RNA is filed under the name Hevea brasiliensis (rubber tree). The record is from RNAcentral. Lineage: Eukaryota; Viridiplantae; Streptophyta; Magnoliopsida; Malpighiales; Euphorbiaceae.
GACACCCUAUUACUAUGAAGAUGCUUCAGAUCAUGGAAAUGAAGCUUGAGAAUAACAAUAAAUCAAAUUUUCCUUUCCAACUUGGGAUUUUGAAGGAGCUAACACACGAUAAGCUCCAGUUUUCUUGUUCUAGGGCCAACUUCCCAGUUUGCUUUUCAAAAAGAGGGAAGGUAAAAGGAGUUGAAAAAACAGAGGAAAGAGAGAAUGAAAAUGAAAUGCAAGCAAUUUGUUAAGUUAUUAAUGAGAUGUUAAAUUCUUGUCACUGUAAAGUAACUAACUAUUCCUGAAUUUGUCCUUUAAAUGGGGUCCUACCCCGCAUUAAAAUUUAUUUGUUGAGAGUGAUGUGCUACAGUGUUUAGUGUUCUCAUCCCUCCAACUAAAAAAACAAUUGGACAUUCCUAAUGGCUUGUUUGAAUGAGAUGUAAGGAGAAGAGUGAGGAUAGUUAUAGUAAAAAAAUUUUAUAAGUUAAUUAAUAAAAAGGUAAGGA